Molecule: long non-coding RNA, 1198 nt
Filed under: Fragaria vesca (wild strawberry)
Lineage: Eukaryota; Viridiplantae; Streptophyta; Magnoliopsida; Rosales; Rosaceae
Description: long non-coding RNA (FVES_LNC001466)
Source: RNAcentral
GCCGACGAAAUACACUAUAAUUCGUCGGCUAAGAUGAUUUUAGCUGACGAAUAACCUAAUAUUUCGUCGGCUUUAGUUAUUUUUUAAUUUUCUAAUUACAUACUAUAGCCGACGAAUACGUUAGGGUAUUCGUCGGCUAAACCCUAAAAUUUUUCUAUUACCUACUAUAGCCCUAUCUUCGGUGGUUAUUUUCCGUAAAAUUUUUAGACGACUUCUUGCGUCUCAUCGGUUUGAAACUAUUUUCAGUUGGAGGUCCGGCCAAAAUACGUAAUUUAGACGGUCGAACGACCUUUUCCAUGCGUUUAGGGGUUUGACAUACGAGAUUGACCAUCCGGAUCGAGCCCUUAUUCUUUUCGGAUCAAGUUGAAUUUUUUCCCAUACAUGUAUUUUAUCAUGAUGGUCACACUUGACGGUCGGAUUUUUGUUUCUCAAGUUUGAUCAUCACAAUCACAACAUGCAUACUAAUGUUGUAUAACUUGUUUACCGAGUGUUAUGUAAAUGUUCCGUUUCAAAAACAAACUAUACGUAAAACCUUCAAACGCCAAAAAGUCAUGAAAUAAGAUAUGUAGAGAAUAUAGAAAUACAUCCACGGUUGAAAAAUCACACUAUUUCGGUAAAUAUUCGGUGCCGAUAGUUGUGGUCAAUGCAAUUUUUCAUUCUUUCCCCCUAUGAGUGGCUAUAUUCGGUGGUUAUUUUGCGAAAAAUUUUUAUACGACUUGUUGUGUGUCAUCGAUUUAAAACUAUUUUCAGUUGGAGGUCCGGCCAACAUACGUAAUUUAGACGGUCGAACGACCUUUUCCGUGCGUUUAGGGGUUUGACUUACGAGAUUGACCGUCCGGAUCGAGCCCUUAUUCUUGUCGGAUCAAGUUGAAUUUUUGGUCAUACAUGUAUUUUGUAAUGGUGGUCAGAUCUGACGGUCGGAUUUAUUUUUCUCAAGUUUGAUCAUCACAAUCACAAUGUGCCAAAUGUAUAAAAAUACUUUUAGCCGACGAAUUUCAAAGGUUAGCCGACGAAUUUAUAAAGUUUAGCCGACGAAUUUCAAAGUUUUAGCCGACGAGUUUAGAAGGUUUAGCCGACGAAUUAGUGUAUAGCCGACGAAAUUCGUAGUUUUCGGGUUUAACUGCGAAACCCUAGCCUCCUCCCUCCUCCCUUCUAAUUAUCCCUCUCCCGUCUCCGCCUCCUCCCUCCUCCCUCCUCC